CGUGGGUAACCUGCCCAAGAGAUCGGGAUAACACCUGGAAACAGAUGCUAAUACCGGAUAACAACAGAUGAUGCCUAUCAACUGUUUAAAAGAUGGUUCUGCUAUCACUCUUGGAUGGACCUGCGGUGCAUUAGCUAGUUGGUAGGGUAACGGCCUACCAAGGCGAUGAUGCAUAGCCAGUUGAGAGACUGAUCGGCCACAUUGGGACUGAGACACGGCCCAAACUCCUACGGGAGGCAGCAGUU
RNAcentral lists this ribosomal RNA (245 nucleotides) under uncultured Lactobacillus sp. RNAcentral describes it as "partial 16S ribosomal RNA". It matches the Rfam family "Bacterial small subunit ribosomal RNA", at positions 116 to 355 of the family's 1533-position model. Lineage: Bacteria; Bacillati; Bacillota; Bacilli; Lactobacillales; Lactobacillaceae. The record is from RNAcentral.